GGGCCGUUAGCUCAGUUGGUAGAGCAGAAGACUUUUAAUCUUUUGGUCGUAGGUUCGAGUCCUACACGGCCCACCA
This 76-nucleotide transfer RNA is filed under the name Lysobacteraceae bacterium. RNAcentral describes it as "tRNA-Lys". It matches the Rfam family "tRNA". From Rfam's summary of the family: Transfer RNA (tRNA) molecules are approximately 80 nucleotides in length. Their secondary structure includes four short double-helical elements and three loops (D, anti-codon, and T loops). Further hydrogen bonds mediate the characteristic L-shaped molecular structure. tRNAs have two regions of fundamental functional importance: the anti-codon, which is responsible for specific mRNA codon recognition, and the 3' end, to which the tRNAs corresponding amino acid is attached (by aminoacyl-tRNA synthetases). tRNAs cope with the degeneracy of the genetic code in two manners: having more than one tRNA (with a specific anti-codon) for a particular amino acid; and 'wobble' base-pairing, i.e. permitting non-standard base-pairing at the 3rd anti-codon position. Lineage: Bacteria; Pseudomonadati; Pseudomonadota; Gammaproteobacteria; Lysobacterales; Lysobacteraceae. RNAcentral also lists the same sequence under 2 other names. The record is from RNAcentral.